GAUGAAGAACGUAGCGAAAUGCGAUACUUGGUGUGAAUUGCAGAAUCCCGUGAACCAUCAAGUCUUUGAACGCAAGUUGCGCCCGAAGCCAUUAGGCCGAGGGCACGCCUGCCUGGGCGUCACACGUCGUUGCCCCCCCAUCUACUCCUUCGGGAUUGCGGGGGGCGGAUGAUGGCCUCCCGUGCGCCUCGUCGCGCGGUUGGCAUAAAUGCCAAGUCCUCGGCGACGCACGCCACGACAAUCGGUGGUUGCGAAACCUCGGUUGCCCGUCGUGUGCGGUCGUCGCGCAUCGAGGGCUCGAAAAAAUUGCCGGGCUCCGGCUCGGCUUUCAACGCGACCCCAGGUCAGGCGGGGUUACCCGCUGAAUUUAAGCAUAUCAAUAAGCGGAGGA
Molecule: unclassified non-coding RNA, 391 nt
Filed under: soil metagenome
Description: partial contains 5.8S ribosomal RNA, internal transcribed spacer 2, and large subunit ribosomal RNA
Rfam family: 5.8S ribosomal RNA (bases 1-122)
Source: RNAcentral